GACGGAGGGCGCAAGCGUUGUUCGGAAUUACUGGGCGUAAAGCGCACGCAGGCGGUUCGCUAAGUCCUUUGUGAAAGCCCGGGGCUCAACCCCGGAAUUGCAUCGGAUACUGGCGGACUGGAGAUCGGUAGAGGCUAGCGGAAUUCCAGGUGUAGCGGUGGAAUGCGUAGAUAUCUGGAAGAACACCUGUGGCGAAGGCGGCUAGCUGGGCCGAAUCUGACGCUCAUGUGCGAAAGCGUGGGGAGCAAACAGGAUUAGAUACCCCCGUA
RNAcentral lists this ribosomal RNA (269 nucleotides) under uncultured prokaryote. RNAcentral's name for it is "partial 16S ribosomal RNA". It matches the Rfam family "Bacterial small subunit ribosomal RNA", at positions 524 to 792 of the family's 1533-position model. The record is from RNAcentral.